Molecule: long non-coding RNA, 341 nt
Filed under: Castor canadensis (American beaver)
Lineage: Eukaryota; Metazoa; Chordata; Mammalia; Rodentia; Castoridae
Description: lncRNA (ENSCCNG00000011393.1)
Source: RNAcentral
UAAAUUUGAAAGCAGAAAUCAGCUUUCUGCAGAUGUGUGUCUAAUUCAGUUCUUGUUUCUGUAACCUAGUUUGAAGGAAGAAAGACUUCCAAAAGAAUCAACCAAGUCUACUGAGGCACAGUUUGACUCAAAAGGAUCCAACUGCUUAGCAAAUGGAAAAUAACACUGUGGAGCAUUGACUGCAUUUGAAUACACCAGAAACUAAAAUACCACACUAUCCAGUUCAAUACAGGACACCUGGCAACCCCAUUUCAGACAACCAGAUACAAGCCAACCAAAGCUGCCUUCAAAGGGAAGACACCUAGGGAGGGAAGAUGAUGCUGAUUAAGAAAUAGCCUUGA